Molecule: ribosomal RNA, 252 nt
Filed under: uncultured prokaryote
Description: partial 16S rRNA
Rfam family: Archaeal small subunit ribosomal RNA
Source: RNAcentral
ACCGGCAGCUCAAGUGGUGGCCAUUUUUAUUGGGCCUAAAGCGUUCGUAGCCGGUUUGACAAGUCUCUGGUGAAAUCCCGCAGCUUAACUGUGGGACUUGCUGGAGAUACUGUUAGACUUGAGGUCGGGAGAGGUUAGGGGUACUCCAAGGGUAGGGGUGAAAUCCUAUAAUCCUGGAAGGACCACCAGUGGCGAAGGCGCCUAACCAGAACGGACCUGACGGUGAGGAACGAAAGCCAGGGGCGCGAACCG